UGUGGGAUCUAAUUCAGACAGGUGAGACACAGGAAAAACUUAGUCAUACAUUAAAUAACUAAGGAAGGGAAAAAAAUGGUCCAACAAGUAAUGAUUUCUUUUCUUCAAAUUACAAGAGAGAGAAAACAAAAAGAGCUAAGCAACAUUGGGCCCAACAGAAAGUGUAAGAACUUAUAAAAACUUGUAUGGCUUCUUAAGGUGUCUAUGUUUUGUGUUUUCG
This 220-nucleotide unclassified non-coding RNA is filed under the name Hevea brasiliensis (rubber tree). The record is from RNAcentral. Lineage: Eukaryota; Viridiplantae; Streptophyta; Magnoliopsida; Malpighiales; Euphorbiaceae.